Molecule: ribosomal RNA, 255 nt
Filed under: uncultured bacterium
Lineage: Bacteria
Description: partial small subunit ribosomal RNA
Rfam family: Bacterial small subunit ribosomal RNA
Source: RNAcentral
AGGACGAACGCUGGCGGCGUGCUUAACACAUGCAAGUCGAGCGGAAAGGCCCUUCGGGGUACUCGAGCGGCGAACGGGUGAGUAACACGUGAGCAACCUGCCCCUGGCUCUGGGAUAGCCUCCGGAAACGGGGAUUAAUACCGGACAUGACCCCUGACCGCAUGGUUGGGGGUGGAAAGUUUUUCGGCCAGGGUGGGGCUCGCGGCCUAUCAGCUUGUUGGGGGGGUGACGGCCCACCAAGGCGACGACGGGUAG